Molecule: ribosomal RNA, 2012 nt
Filed under: Staphylococcus aureus VET0612S
Lineage: Bacteria; Bacillati; Bacillota; Bacilli; Caryophanales; Staphylococcaceae
Description: bacterial LSU rRNA
Rfam family: Bacterial large subunit ribosomal RNA
Source: RNAcentral
UUAAGUUAUUAAGGGCGCACGGUGGAUGCCUUGGCACUAGAAGCCGAUGAAGGACGUUACUAACGACGAUAUGCUUUGGGGAGCUGUAAGUAAGCUUUGAUCCAGAGAUUUCCGAAUGGGGAAACCCAGCAUGAGUUAUGUCAUGUUAUCGAUAUGUGAAUACAUAGCAUAUCAGAAGGCACACCCGGAGAACUGAAACAUCUUAGUACCCGGAGGAAGAGAAAGAAAAUUCGAUUCCCUUAGUAGCGGCGAGCGAAACGGGAAGAGCCCAAACCAACAAGCUUGCUUGUUGGGGUUGUAGGACACUCUAUACGGAGUUACAAAGGACGACAUUAGACGAAUCAUCUGGAAAGAUGAAUCAAAGAAGGUAAUAAUCCUGUAGUCGAAAAUGUUGUCUCUCUUGAGUGGAUCCUGAGUACGACGGAGCACGUGAAAUUCCGUCGGAAUCUGGGAGGACCAUCUCCUAAGGCUAAAUACUCUCUAGUGACCGAUAGUGAACCAGUACCGUGAGGGAAAGGUGAAAAGCACCCCGGAAGGGGAGUGAAAUAGAACCUGAAACCGUGUGCUUACAAGUAGUCAGAGCCCGUUAAUGGGUGAUGGCGUGCCUUUUGUAGAAUGAACCGGCGAGUUACGAUUUGAUGCAAGGUUAAGCAGUAAAUGUGGAGCCGUAGCGAAAGCGAGUCUGAAUAGGGCGUUUAGUAUUUGGUCGUAGACCCGAAACCAGGUGAUCUACCCUUGGUCAGGUUGAAGUUCAGGUAACACUGAAUGGAGGACCGAACCGACUUACGUUGAAAAGUGAGCGGAUGAACUGAGGGUAGCGGAGAAAUUCCAAUCGAACCUGGAGAUAGCUGGUUCUCUCCGAAAUAGCUUUAGGGCUAGCCUCAAGUGAUGAUUAUUGGAGGUAGAGCACUGUUUGGACGAGGGGCCCCUCUCGGGUUACCGAAUUCAGACAAACUCCGAAUGCCAAUUAAUUUAACUUGGGAGUCAGAACAUGGGUGAUAAGGUCCGUGUUCGAAAGGGAAACAGCCCAGACCACCAGCUAAGGUCCCAAAAUAUAUGUUAAGUGGAAAAGGAUGUGGCGUUGCCCAGACAACUAGGAUGUUGGCUUAGAAGCAGCCAUCAUUUAAAGAGUGCGUAAUAGCUCACUAGUCGAGUGACACUGCGCCGAAAAUGUACCGGGGCUAAACAUAUUACCGAAGCUGUGGAUUGUCCUUUGGACAAUGGUAGGAGAGCGUUCUAAGGGCGUUGAAGCAUGAUCGUAAGGACAUGUGGAGCGCUUAGAAGUGAGAAUGCCGGUGUGAGUAGCGAAAGACGGGUGAGAAUCCCGUCCACCGAUUGACUAAGGUUUCCAGAGGAAGGCUCGUCCGCUCUGGGUUAGUCGGGUCCUAAGCUGAGGCCGACAGGCGUAGGCGAUGGAUAACAGGUUGAUAUUCCUGUACCACCUAUAAUCGUUUUAAUCGAUGGGGGGACGCAGUAGGAUAGGCGAAGCGUGCGAUUGGAUUGCACGUCUAAGCAGUAAGGCUGAGUAUUAGGCAAAUCCGGUACUCAUUAAGGCUGAGCUGUGAUGGGGAGAAGACAUUGUGUCUUCGAGUCGUUGAUUUCACACUGCCGAGAAAAGCCUCUAGAUAGAAAAUAGGUGCCCGUACCGCAAACCGACACAGGUAGUCAAGAUGAGAAUUCUAAGGUGAGCGAGCGAACUCUCGUUAAGGAACUCGGCAAAAUGACCCCGUAACUUCGGGAGAAGGGGUGCUCUUUAGGGUUAACGCCCAGAAGAGCCGCAGUGAAUAGGCCCAAGCGACUGUUUAUCAAAAACACAGGUCUCUGCUAAACCGUAAGGUGAUGUAUAGGGGCUGACGCCUGCCCGGUGCUGGAAGGUUAAGAGGAGUGGUUAGCUUCUGCGAAGCUACGAAUCGAAGCCCCAGUAAACGGCGGCCGUAACUAUAACGGUCCUAAGGUAGCGAAAUUCCUUGUCGGGUAAGUUCCGACCCGCACGAAAGGCGUAACGAUUUGGG